UCUAACGUGGCAGAUAAGUGCAUUGGAUUUAAGCUCCAUAAAUAAAGUUUUUAAACUUUCAUUAGAA
RNAcentral lists this transfer RNA (67 nucleotides) under Nasutitermes ephratae. RNAcentral describes it as "tRNA-Leu". It matches the Rfam family "tRNA". From Rfam's summary of the family: Transfer RNA (tRNA) molecules are approximately 80 nucleotides in length. Their secondary structure includes four short double-helical elements and three loops (D, anti-codon, and T loops). Lineage: Eukaryota; Metazoa; Arthropoda; Insecta; Blattodea; Termitidae. The record is from RNAcentral. RNAcentral also lists the same sequence under 4 other names.